AGAGUUUGAUUAUGGCUCAGAUUGAACGCUGGCGGCAGGCUUAACACAUGCAAGUCGAGCGGGGAUAGGGUGCUUGCACCUGAUUCCUAGCGGCGGACGGGUGAGUAAUGCUUAGGAAUCUGCCUAUUAGUGGGGGGACAACGUUCCGAAAGGGACGCUAAUACCGCAUACGUCCUACGGGAGAAAGCAGGGGAUCUUCGGACCUUGCGCUAAUAGAUGAGCCUAAGUCGGAUUAGCUAGUUGGUGGGGUAAAGGCCUACCAAGGCGACGAUCUGUAGCGGGUCUGAGAGGAUGAUCCGCCACACUGGGACUGAGACACGGCCCAGACUCCUACGGGAGGCAGCAGUGGGGAAUAUUGGACAAUGGGGGGAACCCUGAUCCAGCCAUGCCGCGUGUGUGAAGAAGGCCUUUUGGUUGUAAAGCACUUUAAGCGAGGAGGAGGCUUACCUGGUUAAUACCUGGGAUAAGUGGACGUUACUCGCAGAAUAAGCACCGGCUAACUCUGUGCCAGCCGCUGC
RNAcentral lists this ribosomal RNA (518 nucleotides) under uncultured bacterium. RNAcentral describes it as "bacterial SSU rRNA". It matches the Rfam family "Bacterial small subunit ribosomal RNA", at positions 8 to 518 of the family's 1533-position model. The record is from RNAcentral.